RNAcentral lists this ribosomal RNA (589 nucleotides) under uncultured bacterium. RNAcentral's name for it is "bacterial SSU rRNA". It matches the Rfam family "Bacterial small subunit ribosomal RNA", at positions 338 to 916 of the family's 1533-position model. The record is from RNAcentral.
CCUACGGGAGGCAGCAGUGGGGAAUUUUGGACAAUGGGGGCAACCCUGAUCCAGCCAUUCCGCGUGAGUGAAGAAGGCCUUCGGGUUGUAAAGCUCUUUCGCAAGGGAAGAAAACUUAUGAUCGAAUAAAUCAUGAGGUUGACGGUACCUUGAUAAGAAGCACCGGCUAACUACGUGCCAGCAGCCGCGGUAAUACGUAGGGUGCGAGCGUUAAUCGGAAUUACUGGGCGUAAAGCGUGCGCAGGCGGUUUUGUAAGUCGGAUGUGAAAUCCCCGGGCUCAACCUGGGAACUGCGUUCGAAACUGCAAGGCUAGAGUGUGCCAGAGGGGGGUAGAAUUCCACGUGUAGCAGUGAAAUGCGUAGAGAUGUGGAGGAAUACCAAUGGCGAAGGCAGCCCCCUGGGAUAACACUGACGCUCAUGCACGAAAGCGUGGGGAGCAAACAGGAUUAGAUACCCUGGUAGUCCACGCCCUAAACGAUGUCAACUAGUUGUUGGUAGAGUAAAAUCUAUGAGUAACGUAGCUAACGCGUGAAGUUGACCGCCUGGGGAGUACGGUCGCGAAGAUUAAACGUUNAAAGGAAUUGACGG